Molecule: non-coding RNA, 97 nt
Filed under: Yersinia enterocolitica
Lineage: Bacteria; Pseudomonadati; Pseudomonadota; Gammaproteobacteria; Enterobacterales; Yersiniaceae
Source: RNAcentral
AGGUUAUUGACAAAGUGCCCGCAGUGGCGAAAACAGGUAGAUCAUAAAGACGCCGUAAAAUCAUCCCUGAUGGCUCGAGCCGCGCCAUCUUUGGCGU